This is a long non-coding RNA of Onychostoma macrolepis, 3451 nucleotides long. RefSeq lists it as uncharacterized. The record is from RefSeq and is a predicted model, not a curated record. Lineage: Eukaryota; Metazoa; Chordata; Actinopteri; Cypriniformes; Cyprinidae. The transcript has 8 exons.
AGGCUACAGAAAAGUGCAAAAAAUAAAAUUACAUAGUGCAUCAAAAAUUGGCACUCUCUUUGUUAUUUGUAAGUAUUAGAGAUGAAACGAGAAUCAAAUUCAGAAAGAAAAAGGAGAUUUAGGACAAUGGAAGCAAUCAAAAUCAACAAAAGAGCAAUAAUACUCAAGUCCUAUGACUUAAUUAAGUAACAUAAAUGAAACAUUAAUUCAUAAAGUAAGUAUGUGAUCUAUCUAUUUUACUCCUUAGACAAAGUAAAAUCUAUAAUUUAAGGGAAACACUUCUUGAUACUUGAGCCAAUCACGUGGUUUUCAGGCGAAUGCAGCCUCGACGUCAUACAUCACGUGCUCUUGGAUAAACGAAUCAAGCACCGAUACAGUCCUACGAUGUGAAAUCCGUUUCUUUUCUUUUCUUUUUUUUUUACGGAAGCGGAGCUUCGGUUUCGAAAGUAACUUUUUUUUCCUCCAAUUUUAAAAUCGCCCACUACGUUUCCCUUACUUUAAAGUAACGUUAGGACAAACGACACAUAGCAGAAUACGACAGUCAUGUUUGUAAGAUGCUGGUUCAUAUUAUUUAUACAUCUGAUAGACAAAGUGUCUCUGCAGGACCCAGCUGAAAUCAUUGGUGGUGUUGGAGGCUCUGUCAUCUUGCCAUGUUCAUACAAGGAAAGAGUGCUAAACACAGAAGAAAUUAAUGUGUUUUGGAGAUACAAUAAUAGCGUGGUUGUUAUUGAUAUUGAAAAAGGCAUUCCCUUAACAAAAGAACAGGAUGCAAUGUUCAAAGAUCGAAUAGAUAGUUUUCCCUCAGAUUAUAAGAAAGGAAACUUCUCCAUCAGACUCGAACAUCUGAGUUUCACCAGUAUAGGAGAGUUCUCCUGCUUUAUCCAAAAUGUGGACAAGGAAUACAAACUAAGGCUGCAAGUUAGAGCUCCAUCGCCCACCACUUCAGUGUCUACUCCAAAAACAAAGACUAAUAUGAGAAACUCCUCCUUGAAAACACAACCAGAUGGGAUUGUAACUUUCCUGACUGCUGUUUUGGGAGUUUAUAUGUUGCACCAUAUCAGAGUAUUUUACUAGAAUGCUGUAUUGCUAAACUGUCUCUCACACUGUGGCUUUUUUAAACAUGUAAUCAGAAUUAUUUUUGUCUAUAUUAUAUUAUAGUGAAAUAUAUUCUGACUACUGUACAAACUAUGGAAAAUGAUUAAGAUUAUAUAUAGUUCUCAUCAGAAUUGUGCUUGAUGAAGACCUGAUUGGUCGAAAUGCUCCACUGUUUUUGAUCAACUCAGUAGCAUGUAGACAUCUUGUUCUCAUAGCCAUCAAGAUGUGUCCAGGUUACUUUUUUCUGUAUAUGCUGGUAUAUUUGUUACUGUUACAGCCUGUUUAAUUAGAAUAAGGACAGCGGAAGCUGUGGAAAUGUAUGCAUAGUAUAUAUUUUAACAAUAUUAAAUAUGUACAAUAGUAUUCUUAUGACAACAUGUCUUUUGCAUAAAAAUGUCUGCUAAAUACAUGUAAGGUAUACAUUUACGGUUUUAAAAACUAUACAGCAUAAAUUGCAUUAAUUUCUUAUUUGUCAUUGUAAAGCUCAGAGAAUACAUUAUUUGAUUUCUCAGCCAUAUAAAUUAUGCAUGUUACUUAAUAUGGUUGUGCAGCCUUCAGAGGUAAUUAAUCAGAACCGUUUUAACAUACAAUAAAAAUUGAGCCGCCUUAGUUUUUUUCUUUUUAAAUAAAUAAUAUAUAAUAAUUAUUUUUCAUUUAGUGAUUAAUUUUCAAGCAAAUUGUCUGUGCAGUAUUGUUGUGAAAUAUACUAUUGUGAUAGAGUGAAAUUGUGAUUUGAGCAACAAAAUAUUCUGCAACCCAGAACUUAAAUUAUCACCUUAGCACCAACCCAAAGGAGUUCACUCUUCACAGCUCCACACAGUUAUAACAUGUCAAAAAUGAUUUUGUAGUCUUCUAAUACAUGUAUCAUUAAAUGACAAUGCUUUAUAACAUAAGGUCUUACUGUUUUAAUUUACUACUAUAAAUAACAAUUGCACACGCAUUUUAUUUCCUUAUUACCCUUCUAAAAAUUAAAAGCAUUGAUAUGUACACUAAAACAUUUUUCAAUAUAUCCUUGUGAAAGAAUCAUUAUUUUAAAUUAUAUAGAAAUUCCCAACUAGAAAAUGGUGUUCACUUCAGUGGAAAUACGUAUUAAGGCAACAAAAAACAAAUAAAAGACAGUUUCUCCUUGAAUAAAAGAUAGACUUACUCUUGUUUAAUGCUGGUUUGUAUGUUACAUCACACAUGCUUUAAAUGGCUCUUGAAAAAAAAUGGACACCAUACAUUUAGAUUACAGUGUUAAAAAUGGAUUCUGAAAGAGGAUUAUUACUUAGAACUAUUACUUAAGAGUAUGAUGUUGAUUUAACAAAAACUGUAAUUAUCAUGCUUCAUCAGAGUAGCCCAGCUCUGACUUCCUCUCUUGUCUGUGUGGUCGAGGUUUCAUAGUGUUUCCGCUCACAGUAAAAGAUGUUUGAAUGAUCACAGUAUAGAAGAUAAUCAUAUGGAUCAGACGAUGAAGAUCAUACAGCUUCACAUCUAUCUGUUGAUGUGGUCUCAAGCCGCAGAGAGUGUAACAAACACAGCAGUAACUUUAGGAGCUGAUGUGAAUAUAAGCUGUGAUCUUGAUAUAAAGGAGAUUUACUGGUACAGACACAAAUCACCAGAUCCUCCAGUGCUUCAUCUUACGCACUUACAGCAGCACUAAUGAAGGAGCUAAAUAUGAAAACAGCAUCUUCAAACUCAAAUACUCGGUGAAAACUAACAGCCAUCUGUUCAUCAGAAAUAUCAGCACUGAUGAAUUAGGAGUUUAUUAUUGUGUCAAAACUAGUGAACCAUUAAAAUUCAGCAACGGCACCAAAAUCUACAUCAGCUACUUGGUCCACAGGAAUCAGACAGAAUCGAAUGAUGCUCCACAACACGAGACUCGAUGGAGAAACCUGAUCAUCACAUCGGUCCUGUUCAAUGUGCUUUUGAUCAUUGCAGUAAUAGGUUUGGUGAAGUGCUGCCUUGAUGCAACUAGAAGAUCAAAAAAUACUUCAGAGAAACCUCAAAGCACCACAGCAGCUCAAAACACAAAUGAUUUACAGUAUGCUGAAGUUGAUUUCUCCAAGCGCUCCAGAAAAAACAGACCUUGCCCAAGACCAGACCAGGACCAGACCACCUACUCUCUUCUACAGCCAGUAAAAACAGUUUGACAGCAUUUUAAAUUGUCUAUACAUAUAAAAGUCCUUACAAAUCACAUGAUUAAAGCUUAAUAAAUAUAGUAAAUAUAUUAUUAUUUUUAUUAUUAUUAUUGGCGUGCAUGUUAAUUGUUUUGAAUAAUUUUGGUUCUUACAUGUUAAAACUUCUGAACAGCUCUGUUUUGUGGUUAGCAUAAGUGUGGUUUCAUGUGAAAGAAAUGUUCCACCAGUUUGGUCAG